Molecule: ribosomal RNA, 669 nt
Filed under: Staphylococcus aureus
Lineage: Bacteria; Bacillati; Bacillota; Bacilli; Caryophanales; Staphylococcaceae
Description: bacterial LSU rRNA
Rfam family: Bacterial large subunit ribosomal RNA
Source: RNAcentral
AAGCUUGCUUGUUGGGGUUGUAGGACACUCUAUACGGAGUUACAAAGGACGACAUUAGACGAAUCAUCUGGAAAGAUGAAUCAAAGAAGGUAAUAAUCCUGUAGUCGAAAAUGUUGUCUCUCUUGAGUGGAUCCUGAGUACGACGGAGCACGUGAAAUUCCGUCGGAAUCUGGGAGGACCAUCUCCUAAGGCUAAAUACUCUCUAGUGACCGAUAGUGAACCAGUACCGUGAGGGAAAGGUGAAAAGCACCCCGGAAGGGGAGUGAAAUAGAACCUGAAACCGUGUGCUUACAAGUAGUCAGAGCCCGUUAAUGGGUGAUGGCGUGCCUUUUGUAGAAUGAACCGGCGAGUUACGAUUUGAUGCAAGGUUAAGCAGUAAAUGUGGAGCCGUAGCGAAAGCGAGUCUGAAUAGGGCGUUUAGUAUUUGGUCGUAGACCCGAAACCAGGUGAUCUACCCUUGGUCAGGUUGAAGUUCAGGUAACACUGAAUGGAGGACCGAACCGACUUACGUUGAAAAGUGAGCGGAUGAACUGAGGGUAGCGGAGAAAUUCCAAUCGAACCUGGAGAUAGCUGGUUCUCUCCGAAAUAGCUUUAGGGCUAGCCUCAAGUGAUGAUUAUUGGAGGUAGAGCACUGUUUGGACGAGGGGCCCCUCUCGGGUUACCGAAUUC